CAGCCGCCACGGUAAUACGAAGGUCCCGAGCGUUGUUCGGAAUCACUGGGCGUAAAGGGAGCGUAGGCGGCGUGGUAAGUCAGAUGUGAAAUCCCGGGGCUCAACCCCGGAACUGCAUCCGAUACUGCCGUGCUAGAGGAUUGGAGAGGUAGCUGGAAUUCUUGGUGUAGCAGUGAAAUGCGUGGAGAUCAAGAGGAACACUCGUGGCGAAAGCGAGCUACUGGACAAUAUCUGACGCUGAGGCUCGAAGGCCAGGGUAGCGAAAGGGAUUAGAUACCCCUGUAGUCCCUGUCUCUUAUAC
This 301-nucleotide ribosomal RNA is filed under the name uncultured bacterium. RNAcentral's name for it is "partial 16S ribosomal RNA". It matches the Rfam family "Bacterial small subunit ribosomal RNA", at positions 509 to 807 of the family's 1533-position model. The record is from RNAcentral.